GUUUAUGGCCAUGCUAUCCUGAACAAACCCAGUCUUGUCUGAUCUCGGAAGCUAAGCAGAGUCGGGCCUGGUUAGUACUUGGAUGGGAGACCACCUAGGAAGACCAGGUGCUGUAGGCA
Non-coding RNA from Pteropus alecto (black flying fox), 119 nucleotides. Lineage: Eukaryota; Metazoa; Chordata; Mammalia; Chiroptera; Pteropodidae. The record is from Rfam.